UGGGGAAUUUUGGACAAUGGGCGAAAGCCUGAUCCAGCAAUGCCGCGUGUGUGAAGAAGGCCUUCGGGUUGUAAAGCACUUUUGUCCGGAAAGAAAUCCUUGGCUCUAAUACAGUCGGGGGAUGACGGUACCGGAAGAAUAAGCACCGGCUAACUACGUGCCAGCACCGCGGUAAUACGUAGGGUGCAAGCGUUAAUCGGAAUUACUGGGCGUAAAGCGUGCGCAGGCGGUUUGCUAAGACCGAUGUGAAAUCCCCGGGCUCAACCUGGGAACUGCAUUGGUGACUGGCAGGCUAGAGUAUGGCAGAGGGGGGUAGAAUUCCACGUGUAGCAGUGAAAUGCGUAGAGAUGUGAGGAAUACCGAUGGCGAAGGCAGCCCCCUGGGCCAAUACUGACGCUCAUGCACGAAAGCGUGGGGAGCAAACAGGAUUCAGAUACCCUGGUAGUCCACGCCCUAAACGAUGUCAACUAGUUGUUGGGGAUUCAUUUCCUUAGUAACGUAGCUAACGCGUGAAGUUGACCG
Molecule: ribosomal RNA, 522 nt
Filed under: uncultured bacterium
Lineage: Bacteria
Description: partial 16S ribosomal RNA
Rfam family: Bacterial small subunit ribosomal RNA
Source: RNAcentral